This 479-nucleotide ribosomal RNA is filed under the name uncultured bacterium. RNAcentral describes it as "partial 16S ribosomal RNA". It matches the Rfam family "Bacterial small subunit ribosomal RNA", at positions 28 to 508 of the family's 1533-position model. The record is from RNAcentral.
GACGAACGCUGGCGGCGUGCUUAACACAUGCAAGUCGAACGUGAUUUUUGUGGAAAUUCUUUCGGGAAUGGAAAUGAAAUGAAAGUGGCGAACGGGUGAGUAACACGUGAGCAACCUACCUUACACAGGGGGAUAGCCGUUGGAAACGACGAUUAAUACCGCAUGAGACCACAGAAUCGCAUGAUAUAGGGGUCAAAGAUUUAUCGGUGUAAGAAGGGCUCGCGUCUGAUUAGCUAGUUGGAAGGGUAAAGGCCUACCAAGGCGACGAUCAGUAGCCGGUCUGAGAGGAUGAACGGCCACAUUGGAACUGAGACACGGUCCAAACUCCUACGGGAGGCAGCAGUGGGGAAUAUUGCACAAUGGGGGGAACCCUGAUGCAGCGACGCCGCGUGAGCGAAGAAGGUUUUCGAAUCGUAAAGCUCUGUCCUAUGAGAAGAUAAUGACGGUAUCAUAGGAGGAAGCCCCGGCUAAAUACGUGC